GACGAACGCUGGCGGCGUGCUUAACACAUGCAAGUCGAACGGAAAGGCCCUGCUUGCCGGGUACUCGAGUGGCGAACGGGUGAGUAACACGUGGGUGAUCUGCCCUGCACUUCGGGAUAAGCUUGGGAAACUGGGUCUAAUACCGGAUAGGACCGCACUUUAGUGUGUGUGGUGGAAAGUUUUUUCGGUGUAGGAUGAGCUCGCGGCCUAUCAGCUUGUUGGUGGGGUAAUGGCCUACCAAGGCGGCGACGGGUAGCCGGCCUGAGAGGGUGUACGGCCACAUUGGGACUGAGAUACGGCCCAGACUCCUACGGGAGGCAGCAGUGGGGAAUAUUGCACAAUGGGCGCAAGCCUGAUGCAGCGACGCCGCGUGGGGGAUGAAGGCCUUCGGGUUGUAAACUCCUUUCGCUAGGGACGAAGCUUUUUGUGACGGUACCUAGAUAAGAAGCACCGGCUAACUACGUA
Molecule: ribosomal RNA, 465 nt
Filed under: uncultured bacterium
Lineage: Bacteria
Description: partial 16S ribosomal RNA
Rfam family: Bacterial small subunit ribosomal RNA
Source: RNAcentral